AUUGAACGCUGGCGGCAGGCUUAACACAUGCAAGUCGAACGGUAGCAGGAGAAAGCUUGCUUUCUUGCUGACGAGUGGCGGACGGGUGAGUAAUGUUUGGGAAUCUGGCUUAUGGAGGGGGAUAACGACGGGAAACUGUCGCUAAUACCGCGUAGUGUCGAGAGACGAAAGUGCGGGACCGCAAGGCCGCAUGCCAUGAGAUGAGCCCAAGUGGGAUUAGGUAGUUGGUGGGGUAAAGGCCUACCAAGCCUGCGAUCUCUAGCUGGUCUGAGAGGAUGACCAGCCACACUGGAACUGAGACACGGUCCAGACUCCUACGGGAGGCAGCAGUGGGGAAUAUUGCGCAAUGGGGGGAACCCUGACGCAGCCAUGCCGCGUGAAUGAAGAAGGCCUUCGGGUUGUAAAGUUCUUUCGGUAUUGAGGAAGGAGUGUAUGUUAAUAGCAUACAUUAUUGACGUUAAAUACAGAAGAAGCACCGGCUAACUCCGUGCCAGCAGCCGCGGUAAUACGGAGGGUGCGAGCGUUAAUCGGAAUAACUGGGCGUAAAGGGCACGCAGGCGGUUAUUUAAGUGAGGUGUGAAAGCCCCGGGCUUAACCUGGGGAUAGCAUUUCAGACUGGGUAACUAGAGUACUUUAGGGAGGGGUAGAAUUCCACGUGUAGCGGUGAAAUGCGUAGAGAUGUGGAGGAAUACCGAAGGCGAAGGCAGCCCCUUGGGAAUGUACUGACGCUCAUGUGCGAAAGCGUGGGGAGCAAACAGG
This 759-nucleotide ribosomal RNA is filed under the name uncultured Haemophilus sp. Its description in RNAcentral is "bacterial SSU rRNA". It matches the Rfam family "Bacterial small subunit ribosomal RNA", at positions 28 to 776 of the family's 1533-position model. Lineage: Bacteria; Pseudomonadati; Pseudomonadota; Gammaproteobacteria; Pasteurellales; Pasteurellaceae. The record is from RNAcentral.